RNAcentral lists this ribosomal RNA (329 nucleotides) under uncultured eukaryote. Its description in RNAcentral is "partial 18S ribosomal RNA". It matches the Rfam family "Eukaryotic small subunit ribosomal RNA", at positions 1470 to 1796 of the family's 1831-position model. The record is from RNAcentral.
CCCUUAGAUGUUCUGGGCCGCACGCGCGCUACACUGAUGCAUUCAACGAGUCUAAAACCUGCUCUGAUAGGGGUGGGUUAUCUUUUGAAUGUGCAUCGUGAUUGGGAUAGAUGAUUGCAAUUUUUCAUCUUCAACGAGGAAUGCCUAGUAAACGCAAGUCAUCAGCUUGCAUUGAUUACGUCCCUGCCCUUUGUACACACCGCCCGUCGCUCCUACCGAUUGAAUGAUCCGAUGAAUAUCAUGGAUUGAGGAUGCAAGUAGGUUAGCCUAUCUUCAUCUUCGAGAAGUGAAGUAAAUCUUAUCAUUUAGAGGAAGGAGAAGUCGUAACA